Molecule: long non-coding RNA, 243 nt
Filed under: Elaeis guineensis (African oil palm)
Lineage: Eukaryota; Viridiplantae; Streptophyta; Magnoliopsida; Arecales; Arecaceae
Description: long non-coding RNA (EGUI_LNC060159)
Source: RNAcentral
AUCUGAUGGCUGACAAAGAGUCCUAAUGCUCAUGGACUAUGAGUCCUACCUAUUUGAGACUCUGUGAUCAAGAAUCAGAAUUUUCUAAUCAUGAGUUUCACACAUUUUGGAUACCAGGGUCAAGAGUCCCACUAGUUUGGGACUUUUUGAUCAGGGUUUCAUAUCGAUGGAUUCUGAUACCCGAUUGCCCAUCAGAUUUAGACUCAGUAUUUAUAAAAGAUUUAAUUAAUAAUUUAAUCAUUA